Molecule: small RNA, 1081 nt
Filed under: Arabidopsis thaliana (thale cress)
Lineage: Eukaryota; Viridiplantae; Streptophyta; Magnoliopsida; Brassicales; Brassicaceae
Description: ATSL172810
Source: RNAcentral
AAAGUCGUGUAAAGCUAAUGUAGUUAUAUAAUGCUUGAUUGAUGGAUAUCUCUAUUUUGCUGGUUUAGGGUUUAGGGUUUAGGAUUAGAUAGAUCAUCCUACUGAACCACCAAAAAUGGAAACGAACAUCAUUUAGAUGGAUUAGUCAGAUGAAUCAUUUGGAUGGACAUCCCAAAUGAGCAAACGAACAGACCUACAAGGUACAAACAACAAUAGAGAUUGAAUUAAAUUUGGUGUAUCCUAUCAAUUCUGGAGAUUUACUUACAUAAUGAAUAAUUAACUGUAUUGCAAAAUCAAAUCACAAACUUGUUCCAAAGUUAGUUCUGCUUUAUCCAUUGAUAUAGUUCAUAAACUUAAACAAGACUUGAGAAUUGAACAAUGAUCCAAAUCCCUACAAAUUUAGAUUAGACCAUCAAAACAAACAUGAUCUACAAGCAUCAGUGAAUUGUCGAGAAGGAAAUUUUAAAAUCGAUAAAUAACUCAAGAAAGCUCAAAUCAUUUUAAAUUCUAAUUUGAAUACACUCUCCAAAGAGAAGAUUGGAUUGCCGGUAAGUGAAAUAGAGUUUUUGACCUCAAGGAGAAGAAAAAAAGUGAAGGAUCUCUGAAAAAAAAGAUAAGAGAGAUAGAGAGAACUUCUCUUAAAUGGGUCUGACAUUGCCGUAUUGGUGCCGUUGGACCUUUCUACGGAGGUUUUGUGUUUACCGGCGAAUCGAUUCCGGAGGUCGAAUAUGGACCCGUCGUUUUUGUAGAAAUCGUUGUGGAUAUGGGCCGCUGGGAAGCCCAAAAGCCCAUUAAAGAAUUUUAAUGAAAAAAACCCUAAACUUAAUUUUUAAUACAAAAACCCCUCAUGUAAGAAAGUCCAAUGAAAAAAUCAUUCAAUUAAUAAUCAGUCAAUAUAAAACAUCUUACUAAAUUAUUAAUGCAAAUCACCUUUUUAAGUACGGAGUUUUAUUAAAAUGACCCGUUUAUUUAUAACUAGGUAAGGCCCGCCUAAAUAGGCGAAUGAAAAAAUGAAUUAGAAAUUUUUAUUUAUGAUAUUUGAAUUCUAAAUAAUAAAUACUCAUCCUUACUUUUUUGAUAU